UAGGGAAUAUUGGUUAAUGGGCGAAAGCCCGAACCAGCAACGCCGCGUGUGCGAUGAAGGCCUUCGGGUCGUAAAGCACUUUUAGAGAGGAAGAGGAAGGACGGUACUCUUUGAAUAAGCUUCGGCUAACUACGUGCCAGCAGCCGCGGUAACACGUAGGAAGCGAGCGUUAUCCGGAUUUACUGGGCGUAAAGCGCGUGUAGGCGGUCUGGUUAGUUGGAUGUGAAAGCUCCCGGCUUAACUGGGAGAGGUCGUUCAAUACUGCCAGACUUGAGAGUGGUAGAGGGAGAUGGAAUUCCGGGUGUAGUGGUGAAAUGCGUAGAUAUCCGGAGGAACACCAGUGGCGAAAGCGAUCUCCUGGACCAUUUCUGACGCUCAGACGCGAAAGCUAGGGUAGCAAACGGG
Molecule: ribosomal RNA, 405 nt
Filed under: uncultured bacterium
Lineage: Bacteria
Description: bacterial SSU rRNA
Rfam family: Bacterial small subunit ribosomal RNA
Source: RNAcentral